AAAAAGGGAAAAAAUUAAAACCCUAAGUUCAUUUAAAUUUUUGGUAACCGCAACUGCGGGCCAAAAAUUGUUUUAAUUUCCACCCUACUAAAAUUUAAUUUUUUAAAAUUUUUAAAAUAAAUUCUCCCCCCCGGAAUUAAUUUUUUUCAAAAAAAAUAAGAAUUUUCCCUAAAAAUUUUUUGUAAAAAAAAAUUAAAAAAAAAUUUUUUAACCCUAAGAAAAUUUU
This 226-nucleotide ribosomal RNA is filed under the name Loepa sikkima. RNAcentral describes it as "partial 12S ribosomal RNA". Lineage: Eukaryota; Metazoa; Arthropoda; Insecta; Lepidoptera; Saturniidae. The record is from RNAcentral.